This 80-nucleotide non-coding RNA is filed under the name Ureibacillus endophyticus. RNAcentral's name for it is "TPP riboswitch (THI element)". It matches the Rfam family "TPP riboswitch aptamer (THI element)", at positions 6 to 98 of the family's 105-position model. From Rfam's summary of the family: Vitamin B(1) in its active form thiamin pyrophosphate (TPP) is an essential coenzyme that is synthesised by coupling of pyrimidine and thiazole moieties in bacteria. The previously detected thiamin-regulatory element, thi box was extended, resulting in a new, highly conserved RNA secondary structure, the THI element, which is widely distributed in eubacteria and also occurs in some archaea. Analysis of operon structures identified a large number of new candidate thiamin-regulated genes, mostly transporters, in various prokaryotic organisms. Lineage: Bacteria; Bacillati; Bacillota; Bacilli; Caryophanales; Caryophanaceae. The record is from RNAcentral.
UAACACUAGGGGCGCCAUUCGGCUGAGAAGUACCCUUUGAACCUGAUUUAGUUCGUACUAACGUAGGGAAGUGUACAAUG